Nymphaea colorata (pocket water lily) is the source of this 2872-nucleotide long non-coding RNA. RefSeq lists it as uncharacterized. Lineage: Eukaryota; Viridiplantae; Streptophyta; Magnoliopsida; Nymphaeales; Nymphaeaceae. The record is from RefSeq and is a predicted model, not a curated record. The transcript is spliced from 5 exons.
CUUCAUCUCCCUUUCUCCUCCUAGCUGGAAUUCUUUUCAUGGUUUCUCUCAAUUUUAUGGAAAUUUUUGUCUAUUCAGUUGAAUGCGGACUGCGAUUACGGGCUUCUUUCUUUCUUCUUCGUUUCGCGCUCUCCGAUUGGUUAGAGUGUGGACAUUACAACAUGGCCUCUAAUUUAUUGUUUUUCUCGAGUGUUACCGGUGAUUAGAUUUAGUAUGUGUUGGGUGUGCCGACGAUGAGUUUUGGCAGUUUAGGCUCUGUGGAUGUUAUCUUGCUUAACCCUUGCCAGAGUUUGUUUUCUUUCUUGUUUGAUGGAUCAUUUUACUUCAUCUCCCUUUUUCCUCCUAGCUGGAAUUCUUUUUAGGGUUUCUCUCGAUUUCUGAGGAAUUUUUCACCUAUUCAGUUGAAUGCGGGCUGUGAUUACGGGCUUCUUUCUUUCAUCUUCAUUUCGUGCUUUCUGAUCAGUUGGAGUGUUGGACAUUGCAAGUUGAUUUUCCUUUGAUUUAUUGUUUCUCUUCUCGAACGUUAUCGGUGAUUAGAUUUAGUACAUGUUUGGCGUGCAGAUGGAUUAGUUUGGCGGUUCAGAGCUGUGGAUGUUCUCUUGCUUAAACCCUUGCCAGAGUUUGUUUCCUUUGUUGUUUGAUGCACCGGGAGAGUUUGAAGAGUUUUUGGGUGGUCCCUUGUGGGUUUUACGAUUGCAGACUUGUAGAACAGAAUGGCGAUCUGGGCAUUGAGGCGCGGAAGCCGCUCCUAGGUUUGUCUACGUCGCUUGAGGGCAAAAGGAGGAGCAAGAAGAAAGUGCUCGAGAAUGAAGUUAAAUAUACUGGAAGAAGGACUUGUAUAAACCAAGUGAUUUGACAGUCCUUUUGGCAAAGGUUGAAGAAUCUGAGGUGAAAUACAAAGGAGUGAAUGCCUCAGAUCUCUGAGGGAUAUUUCCCUUGCACUUGCUGAGAUGCCUACAUGUGGUGAUCUAACAGGUGAUGUCUGUCACUCGGCUGAUGGUUACCAUCUCAAUGUUAAAGUAUAUGAGAAGCUGCUAUUUAGUGUUUUUGACAUACUGGACAAGGGCAAACUUGGAAGUAGGAGAUUCUUGAACUCUUGAAAUCAAUCUGGCAAAUUCUAGGAAUCACAAGGACUAUCCAUGGUAUAUGCUAUGCUUGGGUCUUAUUUCAGCAGUUUAUCAUAACUGGUGAACAACGGCUUCUACAACAUGCCACUGAAAUGCUAAGAAAGAUUCCACGAAAAUAACAGCGAAGUAUGCAGGAGAAGUUAUAUUUGAAAGACCUCUGUUUUCCAAUCGAAGGAGAAAUAGGGAAUCAAGAAUUAACAUUUAUGCAUUCUGUCUUGUCACCUAUAAAGUAGUGAGCUGAUAAGCGUUUGGAGGAUUAUCAUUGCCAUUUUUUUGAUGUUAGUCUCUGCUUAGAAUGACUCGGUGAUUGUAUUUCUGAAUAUGAUGGUUGUUGAUGAACAUACAUCGCCAAAUACAGGAAGAUAUUGAGCAUGAUUAUGGUAAAUCUUAGAGGAUUUAUAAUAAAGCUGCUAAGAGAUAGAUUGUGCUUGUUCCUAGCCCUUUUCGGGAAGGAACAGAAUUUGCUGGGGCAGGUGGGGAUCUACCAAGCCAGGAGUUCGAGCCCAUGUGAGAGUGGGCUGAAUUGUUAUAAUUGGUAUCUGGUUCAACACUUGGACCUGGGGUCUUAUACACAUAGACAUGCUGCUUUAAGGGAGAUGAAAUUGAAAGUUUAAUUCUACAUCUAAGAUUAUGAAAAACCUUGAAGGAUUGAUACGAAUGCUAGCUAAAAAAUAGAUUGACCUGGUUCCUUGACCAUUCAGGGGAGAAACUAAAACUAUUAGGGGGGUGGGUUGGGUCCACUAAACCAGGAGCCCAAACCCAUGUAGUAAUGGUUUAUGUUGUUGGAAUUUUAGAUGAUAGAAAACAUGUAUUCUAAUUGAUUGGUGAAUUUAGGUAAUCACAGUUGGAGCUGAUCCAGCGUUCGAAUGGUUGUGAAUUUUAUCUUAUUUGGGAACUUGAUUAAGAGAGUUGUGAUGUCCACUGGUGCUGUUUCUUUGGAUGAUGUUGGACUGGAUCAAGUAAGCAUUGAUUAUGUUCUCAACUGUGCCAAGAAAGGUUAGGUGACAAAAGAUUUAUACCGAUUCAACUUCUGCAGCCAUAAGAGAAAGAAAAAACUUCUUGAAGGGUGGUUGUUCCUUUUUUUUUUGGAGCUUUUAGGAACUUGCUCUUGUUACAGGGGAUGUGCUGCAAUUAUCAAAAGUAAUCAGAGACCAUUAUGAAAAAGUCAUCCUUCCAGCGACUUGUACACUAAUUAGACCAUAUUCUAAUUAAUUGACUUGUAGUCUUUUGUAGCUUCUCAAUCUGUUUGAAGCAUUUAAAUGAAGUAUUUUGAUGGAUAAAUGUACUAACAAGUGCCUAUAAGUAGAUAAGUAGACAAACAUAUCUCUGAACAAACAAGCAAACAAAUAAGUAAUGUUUGUGUUUAUGUGUGCAUGCAUGUGUGUGUAUAUGUCUACUUCAUUUUCCAAUAAGCUGACAAAGCAAUUUAGACAGGCUUAAGCGCUGACUGUGUUAAUUGGUCUUGAAGUGAUCCUGUCAAUAAACAUAACUAGUUCUGCGACCGUCUUUAUUUUCUUUUCUUCUACAAUAUUUUUUUCAAAUCAAACCUUUUUUUGUGGUGUUUAUUACAUUUUGAUGGAUAUGAAACUUCCUUCCAGGGUAAACUUCUCCCACAGUCUGUCAAUAACUGAAAUUUGCAUAGCUUUUUACGUAUUUUCUUGUUCUUUUUGUUUUCUAUAGUUUGGGGAAUGCUUUUUAUUCAUUUUUUAAUCUGGAAGCUUUUGGUUUGAUUUGUGUGUUCUUUU